UACAGAGGGUGCGAGCGUUAAUCGGAAUUACUGGGCGUAAAGCGCGCGCAGGCGGCUUUGCAAGUCGGGUGUGAAAUCCCCAGGCUUAACCUGGGAACUGCAUUCGAGACUGCAUUGCUAGAGUGUGGGAGAGGGAAGUGGAAUUUCCGGUGUAGCGGUGAAAUGCGUAGAUAUCGGAAGGAACAUCAGUGGCGAAAGCGACUUCCUGGACCAAUACUGACGCUCAUGUGCGAAAGCGUGGGGAGCAAACGGG
RNAcentral lists this ribosomal RNA (253 nucleotides) under uncultured bacterium. RNAcentral describes it as "partial 16S ribosomal RNA". It matches the Rfam family "Bacterial small subunit ribosomal RNA", at positions 524 to 776 of the family's 1533-position model. The record is from RNAcentral.